This 253-nucleotide ribosomal RNA is filed under the name uncultured bacterium. RNAcentral's name for it is "partial 16S ribosomal RNA". It matches the Rfam family "Bacterial small subunit ribosomal RNA", at positions 524 to 776 of the family's 1533-position model. The record is from RNAcentral.
UACGGAGGGUGCGAGCGUUGUCCGGAAUCACUGGGCGUAAAGGGCGCGUAGGCGGCCUGGUAAGUAGGGGGUGAAAUCCUGCGGCUUAACCGCAGGGCUGCCUUCUAAACUGUCAGGCUUGAGCACAGUAGAGGCAGGUGGAAUUCCCGGUGUAGCGGUGGAAUGCGCAGAUAUCAGGAGGAACACCAAUAGCGAAGGCAGCUCGCUGGGACGGUACUGACGCUAAGGCGCGAAAGCGUGGGGAGCGAACAGG